GCCCGCCUAGCUCAAUCGGAUAGAGCGUCAGACUCUUAGUGCGGAGGCUUCGGUCACCGGUACCCCAAGCGUCAUCUGAAGGCUGCGAGUUCGACCCUCGCGGUGGGCU
Non-coding RNA from Trametes meyenii, 109 nucleotides. NCBI's taxonomy places the organism in Eukaryota, Fungi, Basidiomycota, Agaricomycetes, Polyporales, Polyporaceae. The record is from the annotation of a GenBank genome assembly.